UCCAAAACAAGUAUUAAAGAAUGUCCUAAACAAGAGAAAUUCUACACUAUCACACUUGCACCACGUCAUCAAUAACAAAUCAAUCACAUUCCUUUUUUUCAAACAAAAGUACAAUAAAAAUAUUUUUUUAUAAUUAUGAUGGGACAUAUACUUCAAAAAAAAAAUAUUUGAUUGGUUUGUUACGCCACGUCACUAGUAUAUCUGUCACAUUCUAGAAUUUUUCCCAAAAGAGACUUACUAACUCCAAAACUAAAGCAAUGAUCCAUCCAAUGCUUAUAA
Molecule: long non-coding RNA, 279 nt
Filed under: Ananas comosus (pineapple)
Lineage: Eukaryota; Viridiplantae; Streptophyta; Magnoliopsida; Poales; Bromeliaceae
Description: long non-coding RNA (ACOM_LNC040180)
Source: RNAcentral